GAAGUGCGAUAAGCAAUGCGAAUUGCAGAAUUCCGCGAAUCAUCAGAUCUUUGAACGCAAAUGGCGCCGGAGGGAUAUCCUUCCGGCAUGUCUGUUUCAGUGUCUGAGAGGUUUCACAUAAAUCUUAAUGUGAUUGAUGAGAAGUAGUUUAUUGGGGUUCAUCCCCCAGCAUACAUUUCAUCUCAUCUCUCAUGAAAGAUGCAUGAGUGGAUCUUUCGGUCCAAUGAAGUGGUCACAUCACUCGCAUGUGAUUUCAUUGGGAAAUCACCGAAUUAUCCGAAUACUCAUGGUACCUAUAUGUGUUAUUGUUUGGACCUUAAAAAUCCAAAUGAUAACAAACCUUCCAUACCCUGCAUCUGAGAUAGGCAAGAUCACCCGCUGAACUUAA
This 388-nucleotide unclassified non-coding RNA is filed under the name uncultured fungus. Its description in RNAcentral is "sequence contains ITS1". The stretch from base 1 to 105 matches the Rfam family "5.8S ribosomal RNA", at positions 50 to 154 of the family's 154-position model. The record is from RNAcentral. Lineage: Eukaryota; Fungi.